UCUCCAGAAUAAGAGCUGACAUCCCUAAUGACACAGGAGUACUUUAUCUGAUGUGGGAACUCUUAGGAAUUUUAUCCAUAAAGAAUAUGAAUGUUGGUCCUCUAAAAUGAAGUACUUCUACACUGUAUAAUUAUCUAGCAGAAAUAUUGACUUUUCACUUUAGGAAAAGCACAGGUGAAACAACAUGAGCAAUGGCUCUGUUACAUGUCCCAGGAAAUCAUGAUGGUGAGCCAGCACAUACAAAACAAAGUCCCUCAAACUCAGGCAAAUAAAUGAAAUUCAACAAUCAUUGAUUUGACUACUACAUAUUUUCUUACUGUGCAAUGUGUCCACUGAUGGAAGUCUUCAGAUUAUAAACAUCACUACACCCAUAAGAUGAACUGGGCUUUGUACUUGGAGAGUAAACAACUAGUAAAAACAAGAUCUGCAGAUUCUUUUGAAACCAAAAACUUUAAUCACAGUAUAAACAAUAACAAAUGAUAAAAGUUGAGGAAUUAAGAACAAAGAGUCCAGAAAGUCCCAGAGGAAAAGCCUGUCAUCCAGCAGGUCUUAAAGCGGCUGUCCAGCAUAAUCAGCUGCUGCAGCUCCGCUGCCUCAGGUUGAUAUGGGCGCCGCUGGCCUCAGACUUGACACCGGGAGGGUCCUGGGUCUCCAGCUGAGCUCACCGGUCUGGUUGUUGGCAACAUGUGCUGUCACAGCCAUGGC
Scatophagus argus is the source of this 705-nucleotide long non-coding RNA. RefSeq lists it as uncharacterized. The transcript has 2 exons. The record is from RefSeq and is a predicted model, not a curated record. NCBI's taxonomy places the organism in Eukaryota, Metazoa, Chordata, Actinopteri, Scatophagidae.